ACGGGUGAGUAAUACAUCGGAACGUAUCCUGGAGUGGGGGAUAGCCCGGCGAAAGCCGGAUUAAUACCGCAUACGCUCUGAGGAGGAAAGCGGGGGACCUUCGGGCCUCGCGCUCAAGGGGCGGCCGAUGGCGGAUUAGGUAGUUGGUGGGGUAAAGGCCUACCAGGCCGACGAUCCGUAGCUGGUCUGAGAGGACGACCAGCCACACUGGGACUGAGACACGGCCCAGACUCCUACGGGAGGCAGCAGUGGGGAAUUUUGGACAAUGGGGGCAACCCUGAUCCAGCAAUGCCGCGUGUGUGAAGAAGGCCUUCGGGUUGUAAAGCACUUUUGUCCGGAAAGAAAUCAUCGGGGCCAAUACCCCUGGUGGAUGACGGUACCGGAAGAAUAAGCACCGGCUAACUACGUGCCAGCAGCCGCGGUAAUACGUAGGGUGCGAGCGUUAAUCGGAAUUACUGGGCGUAAAGCGUGCGCAGGCGGUGCUGUAAGACCGAUGUGAAAUCCCCGGGCUUAACCUGGGAACUGCAUUGGUGACUGCAGCGCUGGAGUAUGGCAGAGGGGGGUGGAAUUCCACGU
This 576-nucleotide ribosomal RNA is filed under the name uncultured bacterium. Its description in RNAcentral is "bacterial SSU rRNA". It matches the Rfam family "Bacterial small subunit ribosomal RNA", at positions 102 to 674 of the family's 1533-position model. The record is from RNAcentral.